Molecule: ribosomal RNA, 1275 nt
Filed under: wastewater metagenome
Description: bacterial LSU rRNA
Rfam family: Bacterial large subunit ribosomal RNA
Source: RNAcentral
GGUAGAGAAUACCAAGGCGCUUGAGAGAACUCGGGUGAAGGAACUAGGCAAAAUGGCACCGUAACUUCGGGAGAAGGUGCGCCGGUGAGGGUGAAGUAUUUACUACGUAAGCCCAUGCCGGUCGAAGAUACCAGGCCGCUGCGACUGUUUAUUAAAAACACAGCACUCUGCAAACACGAAAGUGGACGUAUAGGGUGUGACGCCUGCCCGGUGCCGGAAGGUUAAUUGAUGGGGUUAGCGCAAGCGAAGCUCUUGAUCGAAGCCCCGGUAAACGGCGGCCGUAACUAUAACGGUCCUAAGGUAGCGAAAUUCCUUGUCGGGUAAGUUCCGACCUGCACGAAUGGCGUAACGAUGGCGGCGCUGUCUCCACCCGAGACUCAGUGAAAUUGAAAUCGCUGUGAAGAUGCAGUGUAUCCGCGGCUAGACGGAAAGACCCCGUGAACCUUUACUAUAGCUUUGCACUGGACUUUGAAUUUGCUUGUGUAGGAUAGGUGGGAGGCUUUGAAGCGUGGACGCUAGUCUGCGUGGAGCCAAUCUUGAAAUACCACCCUGGCAACUUUGAGGUUCUAACUCUGGUCCGUUAUCCGGAUCGAGGACAGUGUAUGGUGGGUAGUUUGACUGGGGCGGUCUCCUCCUAAAGAGUAACGGAGGAGUACGAAGGUGCGCUCAGCGUGGUCGGAAAUCACGCGUAGAGUAUAAAGGCAAAAGCGCGCUUAACUGCGAGACCCACAAGUCGAGCAGGUACGAAAGUAGGUCUUAGUGAUCCGGUGGUUCUGUAUGGAAGGGCCAUCGCUCAACGGAUAAAAGGUACUCCGGGGAUAACAGGCUGAUACCGCCCAAGAGUUCAUAUCGACGGCGGUGUUUGGCACCUCGAUGUCGGCUCAUCACAUCCUGGGGCUGAAGUAGGUCCCAAGGGUAUGGCUGUUCGCCAUUUAAAGUGGUACGCGAGCUGGGUUUAGAACGUCGUGAGACAGUUCGGUCCCUAUCUGCCGUGGACGUUUGAGAUUUGAGAGGGGCUGCUCCUAGUACGAGAGGACCGGAGUGGACGAACCUCUGGUGUUCCGGUUGUCACGCCAGUGGCAUUGCCGGGUAGCUAUGUUCGGAAAAGAUAACCGCUGAAAGCAUCUAAGCGGGAAACUAGCCUCAAGAUGAGAUCUCACUGGAACCUUGAGUCCCCUGAAGGGCCGUCGAAGACUACGACGUUGAUAGGUUGGGUGUGUAAGCGCUGUGAGGCGUUGAGCUAACCAAUACUAAUUGCCCGUGAGGCUUGACCAU